Molecule: ribosomal RNA, 997 nt
Filed under: Halobacterium jilantaiense
Lineage: Archaea; Methanobacteriati; Methanobacteriota; Halobacteria; Halobacteriales; Halobacteriaceae
Description: bacterial SSU rRNA
Rfam family: Archaeal small subunit ribosomal RNA
Source: RNAcentral
AGCUACCCUCGUGGACGGGAAUAAUCUCGGGAAACUGAGGCUAAUUCCCAAUAACGCUCCGCCCCUGGAAUGGGUGGAGCCGGAAACGUUCCGACGCCACAGGAUGCGGCUGCGGUCGAUUAGGUAGACGGUGGGGUAACGGCCCACCGUGCCUAUAAUCGGUACGGGUUGUGAGAGCAAGAGCCCGGAGACGGAAUCUGAGACAAGAUUCCGGGCCCUACGGGGCGCAGCAGGCGCGAAACCUUUACACUGUACGCAAGUGCGAUAAGGGGACUCCGAGUGUGAAGGCAUAGAGCCUUCACUUUUGUACACCGUAAGGUGGUGUACGAAUAAGGACUGGGCAAGACCGGUGCCAGCCGCCGCGGUAAUACCGGCAGUCCGAGUGAUGGCCGAUAUUAUUGGGCCUAAAGCGUCCGUAGCUGGCUAGACAAGUCCGUUGGGAAAUCUGCCCGCUUAACGGGCAGGCGUCCAGCGGAAACUGUCUAGCUUGGGACCGGAAGACCUGAGGGGUACGUCUGGGGUAGGAGUGAAAUCCUGUAAUCCUGGACGGACCGCCGGUGGCGAAAGCGCCUCAGGAGAACGGAUCCGACAGUGAGGGACGAAAGCUAGGGUCUCGAACCGGAUUAGAUACCCGGGUAGUCCUAGCUGUAAACGAUGUCCGCUAGGUUUUGGCGCAGGCUACGAGCCUGCGCUGUGCCGUAGGGAAGCCGAGAAGCGGACCGCCUGGGAAGUACGUCUGCAAGGAUGAAACUUAAAGGAAUUGGCGGGGGAGCACUACAACCGGAGGAGCCUGCGGUUUAAUUGGACUCAACGCCGGACAUCUCACCAGCCCCGACAGUAGUAAUGACGGUCAGGUUGAUGACCUUACCCGAUGCUACUGAAAAGGAGGUGCAUGGCCGCCGUCAGCUCGUACCGUGAGGCGUCCUGUUAAGUCAGGCAACGAGCGAGAACCCGCACUCCUAAUUGCCAGCAGUACCCUUUGGGUAACUGGGGACUA